This 253-nucleotide ribosomal RNA is filed under the name uncultured bacterium. RNAcentral's name for it is "partial 16S ribosomal RNA". It matches the Rfam family "Bacterial small subunit ribosomal RNA", at positions 524 to 776 of the family's 1533-position model. The record is from RNAcentral.
UACGAACCACACAACCGUUAUUCGGAAUUACUGGGCUUAAAGGGUGCGUAGGCGGCGCGGAAAGUUGGGUGUGAAAUCCCUCGGCUCAACCGAGGAACUGCGUCUGAUACUGGGAGGCUAGAGUAUGGGAGAGGGAUGUAGAAUUCCAGGUGUAGCGGUGAAAUGCGUAGAUAUCUGGAGGAACACCUGUGGCGAAAGCGGCUCACUGGACCACAACUGACGCUGAGGCGCGAAAGCUAGGGGAGCAAACAGG